CCUUGCCAUAUUUUCAUGCUACCAUGAUGUUCUAUUCCACCAUGAGACCACAAUCAAUGGUGAUAAGGACUAAGGACUAAAAGCAGAAGCCAAUGUGGAGUGGUGUUGAUCUGAUUGCAUAAAGAACAGGUUGCCCUUAGGACUGUCCAUUCCAGACAUGCUCAUUAGCAGGAAAACAGUGCCAGACAAGUUACAGAGAAUGGUCAGAAGCAGUGGCCAGAAGCUGAAGUUCUGAAGGAAUAUGGAAUUGUAAAGAAGGCGAGAGGUGAUGGAGAGAAGAUUCGAAGGAAAGGGGCCUCGAGGAGCAGAGACAACAGAUGUGAACUGCAAUGUGAUCACUCUUACAUGUACAGCAGGAGUCAGAUGCUCAGGAAAGCAAACCGUGGCUCCAGGCAUCUGAAGAUUUCAGUACAUCACCUUAGGAAGAGCAGCCAUGGUCAGGAAGGCUGCCUGAGGGCUGCAGACACAACAGGGCAACCUCCAGAAAAGUAGCAAGG
This is a non-coding RNA of Mus caroli (Ryukyu mouse), 497 nucleotides long. The record is from RefSeq and is a predicted model, not a curated record. NCBI's taxonomy places the organism in Eukaryota, Metazoa, Chordata, Mammalia, Rodentia, Muridae.